CCUGGAGGCUGUAGCUUGCCAACUCCUCCUCUGGAUUCAUGGAUUAGAGUUUAAGGAAGAGAUGGAGAAGUAUGGCAGAAGAACUGGAGUGAGGCCGAACCCCGUGGUGUUCUAGAAGAAAGGCUCUUGACACAAGCAUCUGGCAGUUAUUUUUCAGGGGAGAACCUACAAAUUAUAAGGCUGUGCAGCUCCCCUUACUAGUCAAGUGAUUACACUUUUGUUUUCUUUUAUUUUUUUUUAGAGACAGGAUCUCCCUCUGUCACCCAGGCUGGAGUGUGGUGCCGCAGUCACAGCUCACUGCAGCCUCGAACUUGUGGGCUCAAGUGAUCCUGCCUCAGCCUCCUGAGUAGCUGGGACUACAGACACACUCCACCAUGCCUGGCCCAAUUUGACGUGUUCUUCAAAUGGAAAAGAACAAAUGACAUCUCACAGUCGAUGCUGAAACCUUAACCCAGGGGGCCAUGGGGGCCCCAGCCCCUGCAGACUGAAAGGAUGGAGCCCAUUCAGUCUUUUGCUGGCCGAUAUUUUGCUAUUUUUGCUUCCUUGCAGUGUUCCACAGUACCUAAUUCAACAGGCUCUCAGCCUCUACUCCCAUUCUAUUUAUUGUGGUAAAAUAUAUAACAAAAUUUACCGUUUUAACCUUUUUCUUUCUUUUUUUUUUUUUUUGAAACAGGGUCUCACUCUGUCACCCAGGCUGGAGUACAGUGGUGCCAUUGCAGAUCACUGCAGCCUCAACCUCCUGGGUUCAAGUGAUCCUCCCACCUCAGCCUCCUGAGUAAUUAGGAUUACAGGCUUAAGCCACCAUGCCCAGCCUACUUUAAUCAUUUUUUAAUUUUAAUUUUAUUUAUUUUUUUAAAUUUUACUUUAAGUUCUGAGAUUCAUGUGCAGAACGUGCAGGUUUGUUACAUAGGUAUACACAUGUCAUAGUGGUUUGCCGCAGCUGUCAACCCGUCAUCUAGGUUUUAAGCCCUGCAUGCCUUAGGUAUUUCUCCUAAUGCUGCCCCUCCCGCAGCCCCCCAUCCUCAGACAGGCCCCGGUGUGUGAUACUCCCCUCCCUGUGUCCAUGUGUUCUCAUUGCUCAACUGCCACUUAUAAGUGAGAACAUGCAGUGUUUGGUUUUCUGUUCCUGUGUUAGUUUGCUGAAAAUGAUGGCUUCCAGCUUCAUCCGUGUCCCUGCAAAAGACAUGAGUUCAUUAUUUUUUAUGGCUGCAUAGUAUUCCAUGGUGUAUAUAUG
Molecule: long non-coding RNA, 1234 nt
Filed under: Homo sapiens (human)
Lineage: Eukaryota; Metazoa; Chordata; Mammalia; Primates; Hominidae
Description: HSALNT0275464
Source: RNAcentral